Molecule: ribosomal RNA, 426 nt
Filed under: uncultured eukaryote
Lineage: Eukaryota
Description: SSU rRNA
Rfam family: Eukaryotic small subunit ribosomal RNA
Source: RNAcentral
CAGUAGCGUAUAUUAAAGCUGCUGCAGUUAAAAAGCUCGUAGUCGGAUCUCUGGCUUGGGCGAGCGGUCCGUCGCAAGGCGUGUACUGCUCGUGUCCCGGCCAGUCUACCGGUUAGCCGCGCGGUGCUCUUAACUGAGUGCCGUGCGCGGCCGGAACGUUUACUUUGAGAAAAUUGGAGUGUUCAAAGCAGGCACAACCGCCUGAACAGCUCAGCAUGGAAUAAUGGAAGAGGACCUCGGUUCUAUUUCGUUGGUCUCCGGAACGCGAGGUAAUGAUCAAAAGGGACAGACGGGGGCAUUCGUACUGCGGUGUGAGAGGUGAAAUUCUUGGAUCGCCGCAAGACGCCCAAAAGCGAAAGCAUUUGCCAAGAAUGUCUUCAUUGAUCAAGAACGAAAGUUGAGGGUUCGAAGAUGAUUAGAUACCAU